Oryzias melastigma (Indian medaka) is the source of this 1683-nucleotide long non-coding RNA. RefSeq lists it as uncharacterized. NCBI's taxonomy places the organism in Eukaryota, Metazoa, Chordata, Actinopteri, Beloniformes, Adrianichthyidae. The record is from RefSeq and is a predicted model, not a curated record. The transcript is spliced from 2 exons.
GUGCGGAGUCAUGCGUGUGCACGUGUGUAGAGACGAGCGUGUGCACGUGUGUAGAGACGAGCGUGUGCGCGUGUGCGGAGACGUGCGUGUGCGCGUGUGCGGAGUCGUGCGUGUGCACGUGUUUGUGUAUCAGAGUGUUUGUUUUUGUUUACAUGUCCACAGAGUUGAUCAGAUCCAGUUUGGAUGUUUUUGUUUUUUUCGUUUUUUGAGGCCAAAGUUUUUACUCUUCUUUUUUUUCUUGAUUUGAUGUUUCUGUAAACAUUCCCAGGAGGUCUUCCCUGGGGGGCUGCAGUAAAGAUUUAUAAUGAGGCCCACACUGCCUGCACCUGUGGGGGGGCACAAGGCUGAAGACUCGGCUGCAGAUCCAGACCCCCCAGGUCUAAACGUUUACAGGAUAUUUAGUUAGAUUCCACCGGCUGACGUCUUCUUUGGUGUUGGUGGUUCUCCUGGGGGGGGGUCACAUUCCUAAGGAUGCUUAACCGCCAAAAACAGAAAAUGUUUUGUGAUUUUCAUUUUUAGAACUUUAAAACCGAGAAUACAUACAAAUAACAGCCCCCCCCCCCUCUAUAAACACAGAAGAACUGAACUCUAUGCACCUGACCUUCUGGGUAGUGAGGGAGGCUGAUCUCACAGGUGAUCCUACAGCUGAUCCUACUGGUGAUCCUACAGGUGAUCCUACAGCUGAUCUCACAGCUGAUCCUACAGCUGAUCCUACAGGUGAUCCUACUGGUGAUCCUACAGCUGAUCCUACUGGUGAUCCUACAGCUGAUCCUACAGCUGAUCCUACAGGUGAUCCUACAGCUGAUCUCACAGCUGAUCCUACAGCUGAUCCUACAGCUGAUCCUACAGCUGAUCUCACAGGUGAUCUCACAGGUGAUCCUACAGGUGAUCCUACAGCUGAUCCUACAGCUGAUCUCACAGCUGAUCCUACAGCUGAUCCUACAGCUGAUCCUACAGCUGAUCUCACAGGUGAUCCUACAGGUGAUCCUACAGGUGAUCUCACAGCUGAUCCUACAGCUGAUCUCACAGGUGAUCCUACAGCUGAUCCUACUGGUGAUCCUACUGGUGAUCCUACAGCUGAUCUCACAGGUGUGUUCUAAUGUUUACAUGGUGGAUUGUCAGUGACCUUCUCAGCUGCUCUGAUGUCAUCACGCCGUCUCCGUCGUCCCGGGUCAAACCCGCACUGACUCUGUGCUGAGACUGUAAAUAUCUGUGUUCACGCUGGAGCUGAACGGAUCGCCGCGCCGGGGCGCGUUCCAGCUCGACGUGGACCAAACGUGCACGCUCUUUCAGGGGGAGGACAUCAGGGUCGGAGAAGCCACGUAGAAACCUGGACGUCGGUGCAUGGGGGAGGUUCCUGCGCCGCCACACGCCGACGCCAGCAGGACUGAAGCACCACGCACACAGACAUGGUGCAUGAUGGGAAAUCCCAAACACAAAGAGCUCUGUGUCGUGUUUCCGCUGAUGGUUGUUGGGUUCAUGUGGAUAUUUCAUUCUGGUUUUCUAUUUUUUCAGUGUCUGUGAAUACAUAAAUACUGAUGGCGUGUUGUGGUGCAAAGUGUGCGCAUGAACAUUUUUUGAUACACAAACGUUUCGAUUUCUUCAUUUUUAUUCCACUUGUCUGAAUGGGUUUGAGGUUUGAGGUUUCUCCGUGUUCCUGCUUCCAAUAAAAGAUCAACCAGA